AAACUCAAAGGAAUUGACGGGACCCGCACAAGCAGCGGAGCGUGUGGUUUAAUUCGUUGCUACACGAAGAACCUUACCUGGGUUUGACAUAUAGGUUGUAGGGAACUGAAAGGGACCGACCCUUCGGGGAGCCUAUACAGGUGUUGCAUGGCUGUCGUCAGCUCGUGUCGUGAGAUGUUCGGUUAAGUCCGCUAACGAGCGCAACCCUCGUCGUAUGUUAUAUGUGUCAUACGAGACUGCCGGUAAAAGCCGGAGGAAGGUGAGGAUGAUGUCAAGUCAGCAUGACCUUUAUAUCCAGGGCUACACACACGCUACAAUGGUCUGUACAAUGGGUGGCCAAGCCGCGAGGCGGAGCCAAUCCUGAAAGCAGGCCUCAGUUCAGAUUGCAAUCUGCAACUCGACUGCAUGAAGCCGGAGUUGCUAGUAACCGCAGGUCAGCAAUACUGCGGUGAAUACGUUCCCGGGGCUU
RNAcentral lists this ribosomal RNA (469 nucleotides) under uncultured Anaerolineaceae bacterium. RNAcentral describes it as "bacterial SSU rRNA". It matches the Rfam family "Bacterial small subunit ribosomal RNA", at positions 897 to 1382 of the family's 1533-position model. The record is from RNAcentral. Lineage: Bacteria; Bacillati; Chloroflexota; Anaerolineae; Anaerolineales; Anaerolineaceae.